UACGGAGGGGGCUAGCGUUGUUCGGAAUUACUGGGCGUAAAGCGCGCGUAGGCGGCUUUGCAAGUCAGAGGUGAAAGCCCGGGGCUCAACCCCGGAAUUGCCUUUGAGACUGCAUCGCUAGAACGUCGGAGAGGUAAGUGGAAUUCCGAGUGUAGAGGUGAAAUUCGUAGAUAUUCGGAAGAGCACCAGUGGCGAAGGCGACUUACUGGACGACUGUUGACGCUGAGGUGCGAAAGCGUGGGGAGCAAACAGG
Molecule: ribosomal RNA, 253 nt
Filed under: uncultured bacterium
Lineage: Bacteria
Description: partial 16S ribosomal RNA
Rfam family: Bacterial small subunit ribosomal RNA
Source: RNAcentral